UGGGGAAUAUUGCACAAUGGGGGAAACCCUGAUGCAGCAACGCCGCGUGCGGGAUGACGGCCUUCGGGUUGUAAACCGCUUUCAGCCAUGACGAAGCUUUUGUGACGGUAGUGGCAGAAGAAGCACCGGCUAACUACGUCCCAGCAGCCGCGGUGAUACGUAGGGUGCGAGCGUUGUCCGGAAUUAUUGGGCGUAAAUAGCUUGUAGGCGGUUUGUCGCGUCGAAAGUGUAAACUCAGUGCUGAACGCUGAGCCUGCUUUCGAUACGGGCUGACUAGAGGAAGGUAGUGUAGAAGGGAAUUCCCGGUGGAGCGGUGGAAUGCGAAGAUAUCGGGAGGAACACCAGUGGCGAAGGCGGUUCUCUGGACCUUUCCUUACGCUGAGAAGCGAAAGAGUGGGUAGCAAGCAGG
RNAcentral lists this ribosomal RNA (409 nucleotides) under bacterium. Its description in RNAcentral is "partial 16S ribosomal RNA". It matches the Rfam family "Bacterial small subunit ribosomal RNA", at positions 355 to 776 of the family's 1533-position model. The record is from RNAcentral.